This is a long non-coding RNA of Scylla paramamosain (green mud crab), 917 nucleotides long. RefSeq lists it as uncharacterized. Lineage: Eukaryota; Metazoa; Arthropoda; Malacostraca; Decapoda; Portunidae. The transcript has 3 exons. The record is from RefSeq and is a predicted model, not a curated record.
CAAAAUAGUUCCUGAAAAAGAAUCACAUAUAUUCCUUACUUUAAUCAGAUUACACAGCAUUAAAAAAAAAAAAAAAGGAAACAAUACUGGAAGAGACUUAGCUUGUAUAUUCCUUGUAUUUUAAUUAGUACUGAUUCAUUAUUCUCGUCUUUCCCUUUUUUUUCAAGGGAGAUUGGGAAGAGGAAGAGGAAGAGGAAGAGCGGAAGAGGAGAGCUGGAGAGGAGGAGUGGAAGAGGAAGAGGAAGAGGAGUUUUAUACAGAUCCUGAGGCCACGUGGAAGAAAGAACACAAAGAUAAAAAAGGUAAGAGAAAGACAUGGAAGAAGAUAACAAACAGGAAAUAGAAAGAGAAAGAAGUAAAGAGAAGGAAGAAAAGAAGGGAGAGUGAGGAAGUAGAAGAGAACAUGAAAGAAGAGAGAAUGAUGAAAAAAAAGAUAAGAGGAGGAGAACAUGAAAGAAGAGAGAAAUAUGAAAGGAAAUAAGAAGAGGAAGGAAUAAAAAGAAAGAAGAGAGGAAGGAAGGAUAAAAGAAAUUGAAAGAGAAGAACAUUAAAAAUUAAAUAAGAAGACGAAGGAAUAAAAAAGAAGAGAAAGAAGAGAGAGAGAGAAAACGAGAAUGACAAAAUGCAGGAGAAGAACAUGAAAGGGAAUCAGAAGAUGAAAGAAUAAAGAGGAAUAAAACGAGAGAAGGUGAGAAUGACAAAAAUGGAAGAUAAAAACAUGAAAGGAAGUAAGAAGAGAAAGGAAUAUAAAGAGAGAGAAAGAAGAGAGGAAGAGAGAAUAAGAAAAUGGAACAGCACAUUAAAGAAGAAAGAUAAAACAUGGAUUAAGUCAGCCAGGAUUUAAGAGGCAAGGAAGUUCAUGUGCGUUCCAGACCUCCUCCUCCUCCUCCUCCUCCUCCUCCUCCUCCUCCUCCUCC